AUGCAAGUCGAACGAGUACGGCCUAGCUUGCUAGGUGUCGGCUAGUGGCAGACGGGUGCGUAACGCGUGGGAAUCUACCUGGUAGUAUGGAAUAACAGUUAGAAAUGACUGCUAAUACCAUAUACGCCCUUCGGGGGAAAGGUUUACUGCUAUCAGAUGAGCCCGCGUUAGAUUAGCUAGUUGGUAGGGUAAAGGCCUACCAAGGCUACGAUCUAUAGCUGGUCUGAGAGGAUGAUCAGCCACACUGGAACUGAGACACGGUCCAGACUCCUACGGGAGGCAGCAGUGGGGAAUAUUGGACAAUGGGCGAAAGCCUGAUCCAGCAAUGCCGCGUGAGUGAUGAAGGCUUUCGGGUUGUAAAACUCUUUCAGUAGGGAAGAUAAUGACGGUACCUACAGAAGAAGCCCCGGCUAACUCCGUGCCAGCAGCCGCGGUAAUACGGAGGGGGCUAGCGUUGUUCGGAAUUACUGGGCGUAAAGCGCGCGUAGGCGGCACAAUAAGUUGGAAGUGAAAGCCCAGGGCUUAACCUUGGAAUUGCUUUCAAAACUAUUGUGCUAGAGAAUGGUAGAGGAUAGCGGAAUUCCUAGUGUAGAGGUGAAAUUCGUAGAUAUUAGGAGGAACACCAGUGGCGAAGGCGGCUAUCUGGGCCAUUUCUGACGCUAAGGCGCGAAAGCGUGGGUAGCAAACAGGAUUAGAUACCCUGGUAGUCCACGCCGUANACGAUGGGUGCUAGAUAUCGGAAUUUUCGGUGUCGUAGUUAACGCGUUAAGCACCCCGCCUGGGGAGUACGGUCGCAAGAUUAAAACUCAAAGGAAUUGAC
This 820-nucleotide ribosomal RNA is filed under the name uncultured marine bacterium. RNAcentral describes it as "bacterial SSU rRNA". It matches the Rfam family "Bacterial small subunit ribosomal RNA", at positions 55 to 914 of the family's 1533-position model. The record is from RNAcentral.